RNAcentral lists this ribosomal RNA (874 nucleotides) under Halomonas sp. CASMBAUTRLB10. RNAcentral's name for it is "bacterial SSU rRNA". It matches the Rfam family "Bacterial small subunit ribosomal RNA", at positions 60 to 925 of the family's 1533-position model. Lineage: Bacteria; Pseudomonadati; Pseudomonadota; Gammaproteobacteria; Oceanospirillales; Halomonadaceae. The record is from RNAcentral.
AGUCGAGCGGCAGCACGGGGAGCUUGCUCCCUGGUGGCGAGCGGCGGAGGGUGAGUAAUGCAUAGGAAUCUGCCCGGUAGUGGGGGAUAACGUGGGGAAACCCACGCUAAUACCGCAUACGUCCUACGGGAGAAAGCGGAGGAUCUUCGGACUUCGCGCUAUCGGAUGAGCCUAUGUCGGAUUAGCUAGUUGGUAAGGUAACGGCUUACCAAGGCGACGAUCCGUAGCUGGUCUGAGAGGAUGAUCAGCCACACUGGGACUGAGACACGGCCCAGACUCCUACGGGAGGCAGCAGUGGGGAAUAUUGGACAAUGGGCGAAAGCCUGAUCCAGCCAUGCCGCGUGUGUGAAGAAGGCUUUCGGGUUGUAAAGCACUUUCAGCGAGGAAGAAAGCCUUUGGGUUAAUACCCCAGAGGAAGGACAUCACUCGCAGAAGAAGCACCGGCUAACUCCGUGCCAGCAGCCGCGGUAAUACGGAGGGUGCGAGCGUUAAUCGGAAUUACUGGGCGUAAAGCGCGCGUAGGUGGCUUGGCACGCCGGUUGUGAAAGCCCCGGGCUCAACCUGGGAACGGCAUCCGGAACGGCCAGGCUAGAGUGCAGGAGAGGAAGGUAGAAUUCCCGGUGUAGCGGUGAAAUGCGUAGAGAUCGGGAGGAAUACCAGUGGCGAAGGCGGCCUUCUGGCCUGACACUGACACUGAGGUGCGAAAGCGUGGGUAGCAAACAGGAUUAGAUACCCUGGUAGUCCACGCCGUAAACGAUGUCGACUAGCCGUUGGGACCUUUAAAGGACUUAGUGGCGCAGUUAACGCGAUAAGUCGACCGCCUGGGGAGUACGGCCGCAAGGUUAAAACUCAAAUGAAUUGACGGGGGCCCGCA